AGUGGUGUGAAGAAGAAGAAGAGGAAGAAGAAAAAGAGGAAGAAGAAGAAGGAGGAAAAUAAAAAGACAAAACUAACAUAAAAAUUUCAGGAGCUUCUUUGUAAAAUGAAUAGAAAUUCUUCAAUAGGCCUCUGGGGCUGAGAUGUGAGGAGGAGGAGGAAGAAAAUGAGAGUGGGAAGGACGCACUGGAGGACUGUUACUAUCUGAAUCCUAUCGCCUACAAAACAUCAACUGAUCAAUCAGGCACAAGAAAGUGUUCUGCUUCUUUCUGUCACCUUAGAAAUAACCUGGACGUCAAACAUCGGUGAAAAGAAGAGAAAAAAAGGAAAAUGAAAUAACCUGGAAGCUCCUGAUGAUUUGAGAUCAGAUCUUUACAUACUAAGAGAUGGUUGCUAUAUCUGGGGGCCUUGAGUGAAAGGCAGCAGUGGGAGCCCAGCACCCAUUUCCAGACAACUCCACAGCCCAGAGCCCAAACUCAGCAGUUAUGAGUUGAAUUUAUUUUGUCAAACAAAAAGAGUCAAACUCUGUAAAAUAUUGCAAGAGAUUUAUUCUCAGCCAGAUAUGAGUGCCCAGUGGCUUGUGACACAGCCCCGAGAUCCUGUGAACAUGUGCCGAAGUGGUUGGGCUCCAGCUUCUUUUUAUACUUUAUAUUUAUUGAGAUGUUUUAACUCUGCAGGCCAGAGAGAGAGACCUAUCUGAAACCAGCUUGGGCAGCUGGAGAAGAAUGAGGGUGAGCAGACAUCUGGGCAAGCCGGAGUUUGGGAAAACUGCCAUCUUCGACCUUUCUGGAGCAGCAAGAUACUGGUGUGAGUCUGUCAGGAGCUUCAGCCUAGCUGAUGAAUAGACAGGAGAGAGCGAUGGGCUCUACAGACCCGCUCAGCAGUUCUUUCCAACUUGGAGUGCUCUGGUCAUUUGCAUCUGAAUCCUGCUGUGUCUUCUCUCCAGUGGAGAUUUUCAAACCAGGCUGCCAUCAGCACCCACUCACCACCCUAAGUUUGAAUAUGGACUUUGGAGCUGGGCAGCCCUUUUGUGACCAUGAGGCAACAUUGAAGAUGCAAGCCACAUGCUAAGACAGAAGAAAAUAAAGACAGAACUAAGCUGGGGCAUGUAUGACAUUUCAAGCUCUCAGAUCAGCCCUUGAUGGCCACCAUCCAUAUUUAUUGACAUGAAAAGAAGUCCUCAUUUUGUCAAAGCCAAUGAUAUUCAGGACUGUUAUUAAUAACAAAAUACAAUUCUUCCCUCUACCCACUACAGUGUAUCAUGAAACUCUUCAAACAUAUAGGAAAGUUGAGUAUGGAAUCUCUAUCUCCAGCCUUGAGGUCUCACCUGGACUCUUGGUUAUUCAAUGGACUACUCUGCAUCUCCAUGUGCAUCUCUAAUAUAGACUCCUCAACCUUAAUGUAUCCACAACUGAACCUUUGGUUCUGUACCACUCCCGUCUUGCUCCUUGUCUCUCCGUUUCCCCAUCUCAGAAAUUAACAACUUCAUCUUUCCAGUUACUUUUCCUUCCUUCCUUCCUUCCUUCCUUUCCUUCCUUCCUUCUCUCUCUUUUCUUUUUUGAGAGUCUCACUCUGCCACUCAGGCUAGAGUGCAGUGGUGCACUGCAACCUCCACCUUCUGGGUUUUAGUACAGACAGGGUUUUACCAUGUUGGCCAGGCUGUUCACGAACUCCUCACCUUAAGUGAUCCACCUGCCUUGGCCUCCCAAAGUGCUGGGAUGACGGGCGUGAGCCACCGUGCCCGGCCCAUCUUUCCAGUUUCUUGGGACAAAAACCAAAGAUCUACUUUUCUCCUUUGCCAUAUGAGGACACAUUUAAAAGGCUGUGAACAAGGAUGCAGGCUCUUACCAGUUACCAAACUGCUGGUGCCUUGGUCUUACAUUUCCCAGCCCCCAGAGUGCA
RNAcentral lists this long non-coding RNA (1901 nucleotides) under Homo sapiens (human). Its description in RNAcentral is "non-protein coding lnc-ZNF322-2:3". The record is from RNAcentral. Lineage: Eukaryota; Metazoa; Chordata; Mammalia; Primates; Hominidae.